UACGGAGGGGCUAGCGUUGUUCGGAAUUACUGGGCGUAAAGCGCGCGUAGGCGGCUUUGUAAGUUAGAGGUGAAAGCCCGGAGCCUCAACUCCGGAAUUGCCUUUAAGACUGCAUCGCUAGAAGUCAUGGAGAGGUGAGUGGAAUUCCGAGUGUAGAGGGUGAAAUUCGUAGAUAUUCGGAAGAACACCAGUGGCGAAGGCGACUCACUGGACAUGUAUUGACGCUAGGU
This 230-nucleotide ribosomal RNA is filed under the name uncultured bacterium. RNAcentral's name for it is "partial 16S ribosomal RNA". It matches the Rfam family "Bacterial small subunit ribosomal RNA", at positions 524 to 752 of the family's 1533-position model. The record is from RNAcentral.